UACGUAGGCAGCGAGCGUUGUUCGGAGUUACUGGGCGUAAAGGGUGUGUAGGCGGUCUUCUAAGUCUGGUGUGAAAUCUCCCGGCUCAACUGGGAGGGUGCGCCGGAAACUGGGAGGCUAGAGUGUGGGAUGGGAGAGUGGAAUUCCUGGUGUAGCGGUGAAAUGCGUAGAUAUCAGGAGGAACACCGGUGGCGAAGGCGGGUCUCUGGGCCGAUACUGACGCUGGAGGAGCGAAAGCGUGGGGAGCGAACAGG
RNAcentral lists this ribosomal RNA (254 nucleotides) under uncultured bacterium. RNAcentral's name for it is "partial 16S ribosomal RNA". It matches the Rfam family "Bacterial small subunit ribosomal RNA", at positions 524 to 776 of the family's 1533-position model. The record is from RNAcentral.